GACGAACGCUGGCGGCGUGCUUAACACAUGCAAGUCGAGCGAUGAAACACCUUCGGGUGUGAAUUAGCGGCGAACGGGUGAGGAACACGUGAGAAACCUGCCUUCAACUCUGGGAUAACUCCGGGAAACCGGGGCUAAUACCGGAUAUGAGCCUUGAUCGCAUGAUCGGGGCUGGAAAGUUUUUCGGUUGAAGAUGAUCUCGCGGCCUAUCAGCUUGUUGGUGAGGUAAUGGCUCACCAAGGCGACGACGGGUAGCCGGCCUGAGAGGGCGACCGGCCACACUGGGACUGAGACACGGCCCAGACUCCUACGGGAGGCAGCAGUGGGGAAUAUUGGGGCAAUGGAGGAAACUCUGACCCAGCGACGCCGCGUGAGGGAUGAAGGCCUUCGGUUGUAACC
RNAcentral lists this ribosomal RNA (399 nucleotides) under uncultured bacterium. RNAcentral's name for it is "bacterial SSU rRNA". It matches the Rfam family "Bacterial small subunit ribosomal RNA", at positions 28 to 430 of the family's 1533-position model. The record is from RNAcentral.